Molecule: long non-coding RNA, 279 nt
Organism: Hibiscus syriacus
Lineage: Eukaryota; Viridiplantae; Streptophyta; Magnoliopsida; Malvales; Malvaceae
Exons: 3
Source: RefSeq, a predicted model, not a curated record
UGUAUGAUAUCGUUUUCUUUGUAGGCUUGGUUGGACCCAGAUAAUUUACCUUCAAGAAUGUCUUGUGUUUGUGAUAUAUGUGGAUAACCUUUACAAUUUCUACUACAGGUUUAUGCUCCAUUAGUUGAAAAAGACUCAACAUUUCAUCGAAAAUUAUUUGUAUUCAUGUGUCUGUCCAUGAAAUGUCUUCUCCGAGAUCAACAUGAACAAUGGAAGCGUCAUCCGGAUAAGCAAUCAAGGAGUGUUAAGGUUUUCCGUUGCCAAUUGCCUCAUGCUAAU